This 1554-nucleotide long non-coding RNA is filed under the name Homarus americanus (American lobster). RNAcentral's name for it is "uncharacterized LOC121868073, transcript variant X1". Lineage: Eukaryota; Metazoa; Arthropoda; Malacostraca; Decapoda; Nephropidae. The record is from RNAcentral.
UGCUUCCACCUUAUACACAACCCUUUAUGACGACCAUUUACUGCAUUUCUCUUACAUAUAGUGACUGAAAAUAGUGUUAGAAUGUGCAAAUACGCGUGCAGGAUACAGCACUUAUAAUUGCGAAGAAAGGUAAAGAGGGAUUUGGUGGUGGCGUAGUGCGGGGAGCGGCCGCCAGAUGGGGUCGGGUCCAGCUGGAGUUGAGAGAGUGAGGCGGGCUAGGCAGCGCCAGUCCGAGGCUGUGACCCCCAGUGACUAGGCGGGACCUCCGACCGCUCCCAGCCUGUCCGCACUUGGUCUCCACUUCUCGAGUCGAAUAAGGGAUGGUCGUGAUGGCAUCCAGGCGAGAUGAGCUGUAGCAGUAUGGCGACGCCUGGAGGUUGGCAGCUGCUGAUCAGGAGGAAGCACGUCAAAGGAUAUACCUGGAGAGGCGAAGGCAGAGUAGCAGCGAGACCUGGCGCCACUGUUUCCACGGAGAAGGUGAUGUAAUGGACAGAUGACGUUACCCAGGAGAGAUGGCGUUACCCAGAUGAGAUGACGUCGCCCAGGCCAGGCCCUUCAGGAACUAACCAUACGCCCGGUAGAUGAUGACCACUACAAUGGGUUGACUAUCCUGCUACAUUCACACUGCUGAUGGUUCACCAGUUCACAUUAUUGCAAGGGAAGUUACAACAAAACUUUGGAAAAUUGAACUGCACCACCACAGCUGAAAAUGGCCAACUGGGACAUGUAACAACAGCUGUCACCACCACAACACCAACACUGCACCACUUCCACGGCAUCACCACCAUGGCACUAUCACCACUAUGGCACUACCACCACCGGCACUACCGGCACCACCACCACCACCAUAGUACCACCACCACCUAUGGCAAGAAAGUUCAAGUUGGGCGAUGGUGUCUGGGAGGUUCGCACCUUUAGUCUCCUUCAUCGUGGUCAGCGACACCGAUGCCAGGAUCGACAUUGUCCCGAAUACGACCGACGGUAGCCAGGGGAUCACAGGACCCUGAGGAGGAAGUACAUGGUGAGUAGUUCGACAAGGCAAAAUGAGGAGGACAGAAGGCAUGGAUCAGAACUUGGACAGAAUUAUGGAAGAACUGUGUCAACACAGAGGAACAAUCACCAGGUAUAUGCUGAUGAAAGGUACGAUGAUGGCGGCCACCUGACCCACAGCGCUGCCAGUCUCCACUCCUUGAACCCGUACCUCGGUGGGGAAGACCUCGUUAGAGUAGACGUAAAUGAUCUGGAAGGCCGCGGAGAUGAACAUCUUGCCUAACAAAGCCAGCGUCAUCAUCAACUGCCAGUGUCCUGGAGAAGCAGAUCUGAGGUCACCGCCGAGAUUGAGUCCGUCAAACACAAGAGCCGCAGAGAGGAAGAGGAAGCAAACAGCCACGGUGAUGGUGAUGAUCUUUCGAGUGCUAAGAAGAGAUACUCACUAGAGGGCGGGGAACAUGAGGACGGAAGGUAAGGAGGCAGCCAGCUGCAACCACCGCCAGUCACGGAUGGCGUAGGCAGCGCCGCCCCACAGCAUCGUUCCCAGUGCCCACGGCAUCCCGG